Molecule: non-coding RNA, 72 nt
Organism: Schistocerca gregaria
Lineage: Eukaryota; Metazoa; Arthropoda; Insecta; Orthoptera; Acrididae
Source: the annotation of a RefSeq genome assembly
GGUUGCAUAGUGUAAUGGUUAUCACGGGAGGUUUUGGCUCUCCAGAUCGGGGUUCGAUUCCCCGUGCGACCU